This 253-nucleotide ribosomal RNA is filed under the name uncultured bacterium. RNAcentral describes it as "partial 16S ribosomal RNA". It matches the Rfam family "Bacterial small subunit ribosomal RNA", at positions 524 to 776 of the family's 1533-position model. The record is from RNAcentral.
UACGAAGGGGGCUAGCGUUGCUCGGAAUCACUGGGCGUAAAGGGUGCGUAGGCGGGUCUUUAAGUCAGGGGUGAAAUCCUGGAGCUCAUCUCCAGAACUGCCUUUGAUACUGAGGAUCUUGAGUUCGGGAGAGGUGAGUGGAACUGCGAGUGUAGAGGUGAAAUUCGUAGAUAUUCGCAAGAACACCAGUGGCGAAGGCGGCUCACUGGCCCGAUACUGACGCUGAGGCACGAAAGCGUGGGGAGCAAACAGG